This 1338-nucleotide long non-coding RNA is filed under the name Oncorhynchus mykiss (rainbow trout). RNAcentral's name for it is "lncRNA (ENSOMYG00000069023.1)". The record is from RNAcentral. Lineage: Eukaryota; Metazoa; Chordata; Actinopteri; Salmoniformes; Salmonidae.
AUGGGACCAAAGAGCGUCAAGGGCAGGAAGAGAAAGAGAUGGGACCAAAGAGCGUCAAGGGCAGGAAGAGAAAGAGAUGGGACCAAAGAGAGUCAAGGGCAGGAAGAGACAGGGAUGGGACCAAAGAGCAUCACGGGGAGGAAGAGACAGAGAUGGAACCAAAGAGAGUCAAGGGCAGGAAGAGACAGGGAUGGGACCAAAGAGAGUCAAGGGCAGGAAGAGACAGGGAUGGGACCAAAGAGCAUCACGGGGAGGAAGAGACAGAGAUGGAACCAAAGAGAGUCAAGGGCAGGAAGAGACAGGGAUGGAACCAAAGAGAGUCAAGGGCAGGAAGAGACAGGGAUGGGACCAAAGAGCGUCAAGGGCAGGAAGAGACAGAGAUGGAACCAAAGAGAGUCAAGGGCAGGAAGAGACAGGGAUGGGACCAAAGAGCGUCACGGGCAGGAAGAGAAAGAGAUGGGACCAAAGAGCGCCAAGGGCAGGAAUAGAAAGAGAUGGGACCAAAGAGCGCCAAGGGCAGGAAUAGAAAGAGAUGGGACCAAAGAGCGUCAAGGGCAGGAAGAGACAGAGAUGGGACCAAAGAACGUCAAGGGCAGGAAGAGACAGGGAUGGGACCAAAGAGAGUCAAGGGCAGGAAGAGACAGGGAGAAGUGCAGGAAGAGACAGAGAUGGAACCAAAGAGAGUCAAGGGCAGGAAGAGACAGUGAUGGGACCAAAGAGCGUCAAGGGCAGGAAGAGACAGGGAUGGGACCAAAGAGCGUCAAGGGCAGGAAGAGACAGGGAUGGGACCAAAGAGCGUUAAGGGCAAGAAGAGAAAGAGAUGGGACCAAAGAGCGUCAAGGGCAGGAAGAGAAAGAGAUGGGACCAAAGAGCGCCAAGGGCAGGAAGAGAAAGAGAUGGGACCAAAGAGCGCCAAGGGCAGGAAGAGAAAGAGAUGGGACCAAAGAGCAUCAAGGGCAGGAAGAGAAAGAGAUGGGACCAAAGAGCGUCAAGGGCAGGAAGAGAAAGAGAUGGGACCAAAGAGCAUCAAGGGCAGGAAGAGAAAGAGAUGGGACCAAAGAGCGUCAAGGGCAGGAAGAGAAAGAGAUGGGACCAAAGAGCGUCAAGGGGAGGAAGAGACAGAGAUGGCGCCAAAGAGAGGCAAGGGCAGACAGGCAGACACAAGCUCAUACAAUGUACAGUACCUGUUUGGCCUUGGACUUGGUGAUGGUGUCUGAUAUCGGCUUUUUUUUCUCCUUCACAGCACUUUUGGAAAAUAAGUUGACAAACUCAUCAAAAUCCACUGACGGUUCCUCGAUCUUCUCCCAAACCAGAGAACCACUCGCAUCCCUCAGGUAG